CAGGGAGACAAACAAAUGAUCAUGAUGUUUGAGUUAUUGAAUCUCAAGCCAUGAUCCUGUCACCUUAGGUCGAUCGGUACCUCAAGUUAACCUUCGAAAAAUUGAGUGAUCAAUUUAGAGAUUGUGAAUUAACUUCAGUUCCUAAACUUGUCUAGGUCACACCCAACAAGGGUACUCCUGGGCCAUUAGCUCAGGUGGUUAGAGCGCACCCCUGAUAAGGGUGAGGUCCCUGGUUCAAGUCCAGGAUGGCCCAUUCGGUGUUGGGGGUAUAGCUCAGUUGGUAGAGCGCCUGCUUUGCAAGCAGGAUGUCAGCGGUUCGAGUCCGCUUACCUCCACUGAUCAACUUCCUGAUUACGAACUUGAAGGAGAUUACCUUUAUUGAUGUGACUUAGAAUUUGUUCAACUGAUAGAACCUAGCUUCUUAUCAUUCCAAUCUAUAAAUUAAAUAGAUUAGGUUGAUAUGACGCUGGGCUCACUGUAAUCCUACGGAUUCAGAGACCUCAGUAGAACCUUGACAACUGCAUAGGUGAGUCUGGAAAGAAUAAAGCAUCUCAUGGAUGAAUUUAUUUUACAAACUUUUUUGUGAAAUAGAUCAAAUUCUUGAGCAAGAGCCGAGACUCUUUAUCGUUCUUUUGAUGCUGUCGAGGCAUCAGAAGUUUGAUUAUUGAUUUAUUAAAUCAAUAAGAAAGUGUUAACAACACAUAGCGAUUUAGAGGUUAAU
RNAcentral lists this transfer RNA (721 nucleotides) under uncultured cyanobacterium. RNAcentral's name for it is "partial miscellaneous RNA". The stretch from base 263 to 335 matches the Rfam family "tRNA". The record is from RNAcentral. Lineage: Bacteria; Bacillati; Cyanobacteriota.